ACUCCUACGGGAGGCAGCAGUAGGGAAUCUUCCACAAUGGACGCAAGUCUGAUGGAGCAACGCCGCGUGAGUGAAGAAGGGUUUCGGCUCGUAAAGCUCUGUUGUUAAAGAAGAACGUGGGUGAGAGUAACUGUUCACCCAGUGACGGUAUUUAACCAGAAAGCCACGGCUAACUACGUGCCAGCAGCCGCGGUAAUACGUAGGUGGCAAGCGUUAUCCGGAUUUAUUGGGCGUAAAGCGAGCGCAGGCGGUCUUUUAAGUCUAAUGUGAAAGCCUUCGGCUCAACCGAAGAAGUGCAUUGGAAACUGGGAGACUUGAGUGCAGAAGAGGACAGUGGAACUCCAUGUGUAGCGGUGAAAUGCGUAGAUAUAUGGAAGAACACCGGUGGCGAAGGCGGCUGUCUGGUCUGUAACUGACGCUGAGGCUCGAAAGCAUGGGUAGCGAACAGGAUUAGAUACCCUGGUAGGAUAGCG
This 473-nucleotide ribosomal RNA is filed under the name uncultured bacterium. Its description in RNAcentral is "bacterial SSU rRNA". It matches the Rfam family "Bacterial small subunit ribosomal RNA", at positions 335 to 801 of the family's 1533-position model. The record is from RNAcentral.